Long non-coding RNA from Rhinopithecus roxellana (golden snub-nosed monkey), 1420 nucleotides. RefSeq lists it as uncharacterized. The record is from RefSeq and is a predicted model, not a curated record. The transcript has 4 exons. NCBI's taxonomy places the organism in Eukaryota, Metazoa, Chordata, Mammalia, Primates, Cercopithecidae.
GGGUGAGUCGGGAGUCGCUGCCUCGGGGUCCCAGGUCUGGUUCUAGACAGUUUUUUUCUUUCUUCCCCCGAGGAAAAGGGAAACAGAAGGCGGUGUUUUGUUUCCGUUUCUGAGACUGAAAAGAAGGGAAGCAACCUAAUUAAACGGGCAGAAGAUUUGAGUGGACAUCAAGGAAGAUACAAAGUUUCCAUCAUCACAUUUCUGUAGAGGCCUCUCUGAGCAGGACACAGGCGGUCCCAUUCAUCCUGGGAGAGGAGCACAGCCACAUCCUCGAAGGUCAACUUGGCCUGGAAUGACAGGGGCUGCUGCAGAUAAAAGGUUUCAGUUUCCUGGAACAAGCCUGAAACCAGGCCAGGCAAACACCAUGGGCCUCAACCUAAACCUUGCAUACUCAAGCAGGAAAACGUAAGAGCUGUCUGGGGUGACAGAAACUGGCUUUUAACAACACACUCCAUCCACACUUCGCGGGAUUCUGAGGUCCAACUCCAGGCUUUGCUCCAUGAGAACACACUUCAGGCAGGGAGAGAGCGUGAUGUGGACCGUUUUUAAAAAUUAAAAGACAGGCUCAUGACGAGUCCUCUAUAGAUGCCAGGCUCCAAGGCCAGGGGCUGGGACAGGCUGGAAAUCACCGCCAUCGAAUACUGGAAGUGGAAUUUGAGGACCCCCCUCUUGAGGCCAUGCCAACAGCUAACAAAUGGGCAAUAUAAAGAACACCCACUCAGGGCACUGGCUGAGCAACGAUCCCACCCACCCACUGGUCACAAAGGUGGCAGCAUGAAGAGUUAUCAAACUCAGGAAUUUCAAUUUUGAAAAUUUUCCUAAGGAAUAAUCCAAAACAAAAACAAUAGAUCAAUGUUGUUAACAGCAACUGGCUUUCCAGUUUUCUUUAGGUGAUCGAAAGCCACAUCGCAGUGAGACACUCCUAUCACUCUUUUUGGAACUCCUGACUGUCUUGAUGUGACAAAGCAGUAUGCCUGUCAUUCCAGAGGACCCUGAACAUGGUGACACACUGGGACAGGCAGAUUUGGAGUCUCCUGGUCUGGGGUGAGCUGCCAGGAUCUCCUCCAGAGCCACUGCCUUCUCUUGCUUCUCAUCAUCCUUACUCCCUGGACUUCCUGCUAACAAGCACUGCUCCCUCUUCAUCACCAAGGAGCCCCUACCCCCAGGGUGAAAGCACUUUCAAGAGAGGCAGCUUCUGAGUCACCUGUGAGCACAAGGCAAAACACUGCUAAACUUAACCUAAUCUAAACUAACUAACCUAAACUAACCCUAACCUGCAACCUUUCCAGAAUUAAUGAUCAGAAAUAUGUAUCCAAAUUGAUAGCUUUCUCACUGAGCACAGUGGCUCAUGCCUGUAAUGCCAGCACUUUGGGAGGCCAGGGUGGGUGGAUCACCUGAGGUCAGGAGUUCAAGACCAGCC